RNAcentral lists this ribosomal RNA (564 nucleotides) under uncultured Glomeromycotina. RNAcentral's name for it is "SSU rRNA". It matches the Rfam family "Eukaryotic small subunit ribosomal RNA", at positions 548 to 1114 of the family's 1831-position model. Lineage: Eukaryota; Fungi; Glomeromycota. The record is from RNAcentral.
UUGGAGGGCAAGUCUGGUGCCAGCAGCCGCGGUAAUUCCAGCUCCAAUAGCGUAUAUUAAAGUUGCUGCAGUUAAAAAGCUCGUAGUUGAAUUUCGGGACCAUCAUGUCGGUCGUGCCUCGGUACGUACUGGCAUCGUCGGUUUCUCCCUUCUGACGAACCAUAAUGUCAUUUAUUUGGUGUUGUGGGGAAUCAGGACUGUUACUUUGAAAAAAUUAGAGUGUUUAAAGCAGGCUCACGCUUGAAUACAUUAGCAUGGAAUAAUGAAAUAGGACGUUUGAUUCUAUUUUGUUGGUUUCUAGGAUCGACGUAAUGAUUAAUAGGGAUAGUUGGGGGCAUUAGUAUUCAAUUGUCAGAGGUGAAAUUCUUGGAUUUAUUGAAGACUAACUACUGCGAAAGCAUUUGCCAAGGAUGUUUUCAUUAAUCAAGAACGAAAGUUAGGGGAUCGAAGACGAUCAGAUACCGUCGUAGUCUUAACCAUAAACUAUGCCGACUAGGAAUCAGACGAUGUUAAUUUUUUAAUGACUCGUUUGGCACCUUACGGGAAACCAAAGUGUUUGGGUUC